CUCCAAACCUUUCCUAUUUAUAUACUUAUCUAAGUGUCUUUUAACCGUUGUAAUUGUGCCCGUAUGACCACUUCCUCAGGAAAUUCAUUCCACACAAGAAGUGAUCCCUCCAUCCCUGUCCUAUCCCAUAAAAUGGUAGCAGGAGUAGAACAUUAGGCACUUUGAGUCUGUGGCAUCAUUCAGUAUGAACAUGGUUCAUCAUCCAACUUUACCACUGUUCCACUUUCUUCCAAAAUCUUUUGAUCCCUUUCAUUCCUAAUACAAGGGAUAAAUCCUGGUUCAAAACCUUCUUUGUUUUCGUCUCAACGAAUUUCUGUGGCAGAACAGUUCAAGGAAGGGUCACUGGACCCGAAAUGUUAACUCUGAUUAUUUUCCUCACAGAAACUGCCAGACCUGCUGAGCUUUUCCAGCAACUUUGUUUUUGUUCGUGAUUUGAAAUUAGGUAUUUGAUUCUGUGGCUCACCACUAUUAAUCAUGAAUGGAGGUUGUCAGAAAGAGUGAAACCAUUCCACCAUGGAGCUGGUGAACAGCCUCUCAUCAGUACGAGCUCAAUGGUGCAGGCUUCAGCGGAAGAUUUUCAAAUUGUAGACACAGUGAAAUUGUUUGAAUGGAUAUUGAAAGGAGAGGAUUCACAGUUGGGAAACUGCAACCAAACAUUACAUCGGGAUUUCACAGAAUUGCCCACUUCAUUGUAACCUGAAUCUCACUAGAUUUUUGAACAUGGAAGGAGAAAGCACCGUUGACAGCGGUGAUAAACUGUACACGUUUUGUGUGUGUGCACAAGCAUUCAACCGAUCAUCUGACCUCUCGAAACACAACUGGAGUCACAAGGAGAAACCAUGGAAAUGUGGGAUCUGUGGGAAGGGAUUAACAUCCACAACUGAACUGGAAACUCAUUGGUGCAGUCACACUGAGGAAAGUGUGGCAAGGGCUUCGCUCAGAAAUCCCACCUGCUGAGACACUGGGGAGAGACCAUUCUCCCGCUCUACUUGUGGGAAGGGAUUCACUAAUUCCUCCAAACUGCUGAUACACCAGCGAAUUCAUGCUGGGGGGAGGCCGUUCACCAGAUUCUAGUGUGGGCAGGGAGCACCAAGCAGCUGUGGAGUCCUGUGUGGAGUAAAUGGGAAAUUGUUCAGAUACUAUUGAUUUACAACAGGUAGGUAAACAUUGAAGAACAUUGCCUUGCUUUCAGUUCAGAAUAAUCAAGGAUUGAUUUUAGUUGAAAAAUCCAGAGAUUGAAAGUUUUUUUUAUUCAAUUUGGAGGAGAUCUGACCGGGGUCAGACUCAAGUUUAGUUUCUCUGCUACAGAGAGAUCAGAACAAUUCGGUGAAAAGCAGUCACCUCAGUAGAAACAGAAAAUGUUUAAGAUCUGAAAUUUGAGAGAAUUCAUGAAAGAAACUUCUAUAGUUCACAGGAAAUAUCUGGGCCAAAUCAAUUCAGAUAUAACUUACACGUUUGAUAUUUAGGUGUAAUUUCUUUGGACUUCAAUCUGUGUAAAUUGAUGCUUAGCACGUUGGUGCAGCAGGUAAUCAGGAUGGCCAAUGGAAUGCAUUGGUCCUUAUUUCAAGGAGGUUGGUGUAUAAGAAUAAGGAAGUCUUACUGCAACAGUACCAGGUGCUGGUGAAACUUUGUCUUGGGGACUGGGAGCAGUUUUGGUCCCCUUAUUGAAGGAAGAUGAUCAUUUUAUUGGAGGCAGUUCAGAGAAUGUUCUUUAGGGUGACCUG
Long non-coding RNA from Rhincodon typus (whale shark), 1724 nucleotides. RefSeq lists it as uncharacterized. Lineage: Eukaryota; Metazoa; Chordata; Chondrichthyes; Orectolobiformes; Rhincodontidae. The record is from RefSeq and is a predicted model, not a curated record. The transcript has 3 exons.